UACGACUACAUAUCAGGCAUAUCAAUAAGCGGAGGAAAAGAAACUAACAAGGAUUCCCCUAGUAACGGCGAGCGAAGCGGGAAGAGCUCAAAUUUGAAAUCUUAAAGGGUUUCCCUUUACGAAUUGUAGUUUAAAGAAGUGUUUUCUGUUGGAGUUUCGGUAAAAGUUCUUUGGAAUAGGACAUCAUAGAGGGUGAGAAUCCCGUAUUUGACCGUUACUUUCCAGCUGUGUGAUACACUUUCAAAGAGUCGGAUUGUUUGGGAAUGCAGUCCAAGAUGGGUGGUAAAUUUCAUCUAAAGCUAAAUAUUGACGAGAGACCGAUAGCGAACAAGUACCGUGAGGGAAAGAUGAAAAGAACUUUGAAAAGAGAGUUAAACAGUACGUGAAAUUGUCAAAAGGGAAGCGUUUGACACCAGUGUUGUUUUUCCGAAAAUCAAUUAUAAGAGUGGUUUGAUUUCUGAGUAGUGAUGACCUUCAUCAGCUUCCUUCAUCUCUUCACGAGUCUUUUGUAAUGCACUUUUCGGUUAACAAGUCAACAUCAAUUUCUUUUGUUGUAAAAGGGUAUUCGGAAGGUGGCUUUCUUUUCGGAGAAAGUGUUUAUAGCCCUAUACUUCUACAAUCGGAGAGAUUGAGGUCUGCAGCGUAGAUCCUUCGGGGUUAGAUACAUUUGUGCUAAGUUACAACCGUUUAUAGACAACUUGUUGACUAUAUUCGAUCCUGUAGCUUACUCGCUUAUGUAAUUUUACCUACGCUUAGGAUGUUGAUCUACAGAGCGAGAGU
This 780-nucleotide ribosomal RNA is filed under the name uncultured Neocallimastigales. RNAcentral describes it as "partial large subunit ribosomal RNA". It matches the Rfam family "Eukaryotic large subunit ribosomal RNA", at positions 24 to 640 of the family's 3401-position model. Lineage: Eukaryota; Fungi; Neocallimastigomycota; Neocallimastigomycetes; Neocallimastigales. The record is from RNAcentral.